AAACUUUCAACAACGGAUCUCUUGGUUCUGGCAUCGAUGAAGAACGCAGCGAAAUGCGAUAAGUAAUAUGAAUUGCAGAAUUCAGUGAAUCAUCGAAUCUUUGAACGCACAUUGCGCCCUCUGGUAUUCCGGGGGGCAUGCCUGUUCGAGCGUCAUU
Molecule: ribosomal RNA, 157 nt
Filed under: Phlyctis petraea
Lineage: Eukaryota; Fungi; Ascomycota; Lecanoromycetes; Phlyctidaceae
Description: 5.8S ribosomal RNA
Rfam family: 5.8S ribosomal RNA
About the family: 5.8S ribosomal RNA (5.8S rRNA) is a component of the large subunit of the eukaryotic ribosome. It is transcribed by RNA polymerase I as part of the 45S precursor that also contains 18S and 28S rRNA. Functionally, it is thought that 5.8S rRNA may be involved in ribosome translocation.
Source: RNAcentral